Molecule: non-coding RNA, 1112 nt
Organism: Camellia sinensis
Lineage: Eukaryota; Viridiplantae; Streptophyta; Magnoliopsida; Ericales; Theaceae
Source: RefSeq, a predicted model, not a curated record
GGAAAUCAGGGAUUAAGGCUUUUAAUUAAUGGCAUUUUAUGAAACGCCACUUUUUCUAAUAAUAAAUGACGUUUUUUAAAUGUCGUAAUUGUUAUUAAUCAAAACGGUCCCGUUUUAUGAAUAGAUGACGCUUUGAAACGCCUCCAAAUCCUAUCUCUCCACAAACCCUAUUUUGUCUCUCCAAACCUUUAUUUUGAAAACUCACCGCCGUCUACAAUAUGAAGUUUAAAUCUCUCACUCACUCCAAUCUCUCACUCUCAUGCUCUCUCUCAAUUCUUCUUCAGAGCGAUUGCAAUUUCGAAGUUUCUCAGAGCCAACCUAUCUGCAUCCGUAUGGAUUCAAUCUCAUAGUUUCUCAGAGCGAUUGCGAUUUUGAAGUUCGAUUUUGAGCAUCGCCGUCUACAAUCUCAGAAAAACCAAUCGAAUCUUUCAAAAUCUGUUUCAGCUCUGUGGAUUUGGAAAUCUUCAUCUUUUUCGAUUAGAGGUUAGUGCUUUCGGUCAUCCUGUCUGUCUGCAAACCCUAUUUUGUCUCUCCAAACCCUUAUUUUGAAAACCCACCGUCGUCUACAAUAUGAAGCUCGAAUCUAUCACUCACUCAAAUCUCCCACUCUCUUGCUCUCUCUCUCUUUCUGGUCCAUGGGUAUAAGAUGCAAGUAUGUUCUGUGGAAUCAUUGUCAGUUGCUGAGGGUUUUAGAUCGAAUCAAUAUGAAGUUCUCUCUCUUGAUUCUUCUUCAACUUGGUGAUUCCUCUCAAAGUGAUUGCGAUUUCGAAGUUCAAUUUUGAGCACUGCCAUCUACAAUAACCAAUCAAAACUUCAAAAUCUGCUUCAACUCCGUGAUUUAUCUCAGUGGUGGUGUUCUGUUUGUGAUUUAUCUUUGUUGAUUUGGAACUCUUCGUCUUCUUCGAUCAGAGGUUAGUGCUUUCAGUCCUUUGUUUUACAAUCUCAGAACUCUACAAUCUCAUUAGAUGGAAGGACAGAAUAUUCAUUGGAUCCUGUGCUAUAUUCAAAGAAACUUGGUGGCAUAAUAGCUUUUCUGGAUGAAGCUUGUUCUUGUGAGAUAGAUGAGGCUUAUUUUUUUGCUGUAUGUUCCCAAGAUCAACACAUGAAACCUU